UACAGAGGUGCCAAGCGUUAGGCGGAAUCACUGGCUUAAAGCGCGUGUAGGCGGGUCGUUAAGUGUCCGAGUGAAAUCCCACGGCUCAACCGUGGAACUGCCGGGCAUACUGGCGAUCUUGAGGCAUUCAGGGGCGAGCGGAACAAAUGGUGGAGCGGUGAAAUGCGUAGAUAUCAUUUGGAACGCCAAUGGUGAAAACAGCUCGCUGGGAAUGAUCUGACGCUGAGACGCGAAAGCCAGGGAGCGAACGGG
RNAcentral lists this ribosomal RNA (252 nucleotides) under uncultured bacterium. RNAcentral's name for it is "partial 16S ribosomal RNA". It matches the Rfam family "Bacterial small subunit ribosomal RNA", at positions 524 to 776 of the family's 1533-position model. The record is from RNAcentral.